Molecule: ribosomal RNA, 567 nt
Filed under: uncultured fungus
Lineage: Eukaryota; Fungi
Description: eukaryotic LSU rRNA
Rfam family: Eukaryotic large subunit ribosomal RNA
Source: RNAcentral
ACAGGGAUUGCCCUAGUAACGGCGAGUGAAGCGGCAACAGCUCAAAUUUGAAAUCUGGCCCCCUCGGGGUCCGAGUUGUAAUUUGUAGAGGAUGCUUCUGGGUGGCCACCGGUCUAAGUCCCUUGGAACAGGGCGUCACAGAGGGUGAGAAUCCCGUACGUGACCGGCCAGGCCCCCUCCGUGAAGCUCCUUCGACGAGUCGGGUUGUUUGGGAAUGCAGCCCUAAAUGGGAGGUAAAGUUCUUCUAAAGCUAAAUACCGGCCAGAGACCGAUAGCGCACAAGUAGAGUGAUCGAAAGAUGAAAAGCACUUUGGAAAGAGAGUCAAACAGCACGUGAAAUUGUUGAAAGGGAAGCGCUUGCAAUCAGUCUCGACGGCGGCCGUUCGGCCCUUCUUCUGAGGGGUUUACUCGGCCGCCGCCGGGCCAGCAUCGGUUCUGGCGGUCGGACAAAGGUGACGGGAACGUAGCUCCCCCGGGAGUGUUAUAGCCCGUCUCGCAAUACGACCAGCCGGGACCGAGGUCCGCGCUUCGGCUAGGAUGCUGGCGAAAUGGUUGUAAGCGGCCCGU